ACGUCCCUUUCGUUGAUCUUCCGGUGGUGAUGUGGUCAUAUUUGCGGUGUGGCUUUAUCAGUCUUGCUCCCUUUUCCCUUUCCCAACAGCAAGCGAUGGUAGAUCCGGAACAUAGGAUUUGGCAGUGACGACAAGAGAAGGAGGCUGCUCCGGCGAAGACGUAUGGUGGCUGUGGCGGUGGUGUGUGUGAGGAGAACGAGCCCAUGAGCGAUGAGUCCAGCACAAGGAAUUCCUUCUCGGCUUCCCCUUCACCUCUCGCACCGCCACCGCCAUGAUCGUGCCAUCCUCUGUUUAUCGGUUUUCCUUGCGUCUAUUGGUUUUCUUUGAGUGUUUUGGUUAGCUUUGGCUCUUUCUAUUGAUGCAAUUAGUACCGACUGGGAAAUGAAUCUCGUCGUUGGUGAUAUGUUGAUUUCAUUUUGUAGGGCCUAAUGAUGGUGACGAUGUAUUCUUUGAUUUAAUUAUAAGGUUCUGUGCAGAUUUCAGCCCGAUUCUGCUGGAUUAGAAGGUUUAGGCAUUACCUAUUUGGAAGAUUUGCUUCGUCUGCAAACAAUGAUUUCGAAGCAGAAGGACACAAAUGUAACCUCGGCAGAACCAACAGAUUGCAGAUAUCAAAGUCCUAUGUGGUUUGAGUUAUAUAAAUAAUCAGCAUGUUGCAAACUCCACUCCAACUUUGACUGCCAAAUCAGGUGAAGGAAGAGGCAAGAGGUUGGGAGCCCGCAUCGAAGCAAGUUCUGAAAUUAUUAUCAUUGUGGUGAAGAAUUCAGAAGCUGGUGCAGGUUCUAUACAAGGUUGAAUUUGAGCUACGUACUGUUGGAUUUGUUUCGUUCUUCAAGUUCAAUAUGUCGGCCGGUGGCGUGCAACAAGUGGAGGAAUUCACCCAUAAUACAUCAACGAUUUGCCUCCCCCUACUCGUCGGUGUUUUGUGGUGGUAUGUAGCUGCCACACCUUCAACCCAGCCUGCUACCCUGUGCCUCCACCUCGAGUCAUGCAAUCACUCUGACUCCAUAACGGCUGAAAUCAAGUUAAUGUUGUGUUGAUGUAUUGUCAGGAUUAAGGUUGAUUGGUUACACACUUGGCUAUUCUGAGCAAGGUAAUUAAUACAUACAUGAGGUCA
Molecule: long non-coding RNA, 1114 nt
Organism: Triticum urartu
Lineage: Eukaryota; Viridiplantae; Streptophyta; Magnoliopsida; Poales; Poaceae
Source: RefSeq, a predicted model, not a curated record